AGCAGCCGUGGUAAUUCUAGCUCCAAUAGCGUAUAUUAAAGUUGUUGCUCGUAGUUGAAUUUUGGGAUCUAUCCAUCGGUCGGGCCUCACAGUCCGCACUGGUGUGAUGGAUUCCUACUUUCUGAACAACCGGUAUGCCAUUAAUUUGAUGUGCCGGGGAAGCAGAACCAUUACCUUGAAAAAAUUAGAGUGCUCAAAACAGGCUUGUGCCUAAAUACAUUAGCAUGGAAUAAUAAAAUAGGACGGAAUGGUUCUAUUUUGUUGGUUUCUAGGAUCACCGUAAUGAUUAAUAGGGAUAGUUGGG
This 304-nucleotide ribosomal RNA is filed under the name uncultured Acaulospora. RNAcentral's name for it is "SSU rRNA". It matches the Rfam family "Eukaryotic small subunit ribosomal RNA", at positions 569 to 886 of the family's 1831-position model. The record is from RNAcentral. Lineage: Eukaryota; Fungi; Glomeromycota; Glomeromycetes; Diversisporales; Acaulosporaceae.